GGGGGGGGGGGGGGGGGGGGCGAGGGGGUGCAGGGCGGGCGGGGGGACGCGAGGCGGGCUGCUGUGAUGUUAGCGGCGGACGGGUGAGUAACACGUGGAUAACCUCCCUAUACGACGUGGAUAACUUCUGGAACCCGUAGCUAAUACCGGAUGAUAUUUUACACCGCAUGGUUCCCAAGUGAACGACGGUCUUGCUUUCACUUAUAGAUGGAUCCGCGCUGCAUUAGCUAGUUGGUAAGGUAACGGCUUACCAAGUCAACGAUGCAUAUCCGACCUGAGAGGGUGAUCGGCAACACUGGAACUGAGACAUGGUCCAGACUCCUACGGGAGGCAGCAGUAGGGAAUCUUCCGCAAUGGGCGAAAGCCUGACGGAGCAACGCCGCGUGAGUGAUGAAGGUCUUCGGAUCGUAAAACUCUGUUAUUAGGGAAGAACAUAUGUGUAAGUAACUGUGCACAUCUUGACGGUACCUAAUCAGAAAGCCACGGCUAACUACGUG
This 497-nucleotide ribosomal RNA is filed under the name uncultured bacterium. RNAcentral describes it as "partial 16S ribosomal RNA". It matches the Rfam family "Bacterial small subunit ribosomal RNA", at positions 35 to 507 of the family's 1533-position model. The record is from RNAcentral.